This is a long non-coding RNA of Ahaetulla prasina, 1550 nucleotides long. RefSeq lists it as uncharacterized. Lineage: Eukaryota; Metazoa; Chordata; Lepidosauria; Squamata; Colubridae. The transcript has 3 exons. The record is from RefSeq and is a predicted model, not a curated record.
UCCCACUCCUCCGCUGACGGCUGGGUCCGGGAAAUCCGAAUCAGGCUUGCCUCUGCAGCUCUGCCCAAAGUCCUAGCAAAGUCCUCAGAGCAGGCAGGAGACCAGUAAGUGACUUCAGCAAGAUAAGUUUGACUUUUGCCUGACUCAGAGACUGCCAGAAAGUAGAUCCUUUAUAUAGGCCAUGGGGUGUGGCUCCAUGACUCAGCACUCAUUAAGGCCUGCCCCUCCCUUCCCUCUGCAGCCUCCGCCUCUCCAAUCUUCUGAUGCGAGGGUCACACCAAUCAGCUGUUGGUAAUAAACCCUCCUCAGGCUCACCUGCUGUGGAGGAGGGGGAGGGGUCUAGCUGCUCCGUUUGCCUGGGCAUGGAGUCAGGGCUGGGGCAGGGAGAUUCUCCUUCUGCAGUUUGUGGGGGCAUGGAGCCAGGACUGGGACCGGGAGGCAUACAUUCCUCAGUGUGCGGGAGCAGAAAAAAGAAGGAAUGGAGGAAAACAGUGGAAAUUCCUUGUCUUUUGUCCCUGCUCCUUCAUGUUACCCAAAAAGCUUCCGUUUCCAUCUAUUCUCCACUGUGAUUUCAGCCAAGAAUAAAGCAGAAGAGGCCUUCAUUCCUGUUCGAGAUUCAUUGGGAAAUGACCAACUUACACACUAAAGGACAUAUGAGGGAGAAGACAGCAUAUCUAGGACACAAUGAAAGAAGAGCAAAGAAAGAAAUGAUGAGUUUUGGCCACAAUCCCAACUGAUAGCUCCUGACAUAAGCAACCUAGAGAAGAAAAUGUUUGAAAGCCAAACAAAUGUUAGGUAACUUUUUCCUCCUACUCCAAUAAUGUUGUUGACCAACCCUUCAUUCCACAAUAUCAGGCUAUUUGCUCUACUCAUAAACAUCCUUAAACCUUAUGUACCAACCGUCCAUACUUAUCUAUUCUUCAGCAGCUACAGCUUACUUGUUUUGAGGCCAAAAUCUUCUGUCCUAGAAUAGUCCUCUUACUAGAAUCACCUCUAGCUUCAGAAGGCAUAUAAUUCAACUUUCUCUGAUGCAACAAAGGAAAAUACUGUAAAACAGUGUUUCUUAACCUUAGCUGUUUUAAGAUUUAUUCUAAUAUUCAUCUUUAGAUUAAUUUAAAAUUAAUACUAGCCUAGCGACUAAAGAAUUCCGAUGUGUGUGUGUUAAAAUGGCCAAGGUUGAGAAACACUGCUGUAGAGGAAGUGGAUCUCUAUAGCGACCUAUGCACUUAUCUGACUUUAGAUGAACUUAAUGGUGUAAACAAAGACUUUCUGAAGCUUAAUUGUGGGCCUGCUAAAUGUAGAUACCUUCUGCAUGAUUAGAAUGCCACUCCUGUUGAUCUGGGGUAUGCUCUAAACUUUGACGAAAGCCCAGGUGGAUAAUAUUGAAUAUAUGUAUCUAUUUACACAUACUGUAUAAAUAUUUCAGAGGAGGGAAAUUAUGUAAAUAUUAAUACACUCAAAAUGUAUUCUAUGAAGAUUUAAAAAUGUGAAGAUUCACAAUCACCUUUCACGAACGUAUCUCCCAGACGUAAUUGUCAAAUAAAGUGAAU